RNAcentral lists this unclassified non-coding RNA (249 nucleotides) under Glomus sp. RNAcentral's name for it is "partial contains 5.8S ribosomal RNA and internal transcribed spacer 2". The stretch from base 1 to 71 matches the Rfam family "5.8S ribosomal RNA", at positions 84 to 154 of the family's 154-position model. Lineage: Eukaryota; Fungi; Glomeromycota; Glomeromycetes; Glomerales; Glomeraceae. The record is from RNAcentral.
GUGAAUCAUCAAAUUUUUGAACGCAAAUUGCACUCUCUGGUAUUCCAGAGAGUAUGCCUGUUUGAGUGUCAUUUUAAAUAAAAAUCGGUGUUUUUGCUUCCUUUCGUUGUGACGCACCGGAGUGGGGUCGUCUUGCCUUCGGUUAAGUGACCUAAAAUUUGGCAUUGUUUUUUUCUAACGUAUUUAAAUGAUUUUACGUACUUUUUCUAGAUCGGAUACUAUGUGUGUGCAUCCUCAUGAUUCGCUCCU